Molecule: long non-coding RNA, 1531 nt
Organism: Pan troglodytes (chimpanzee)
Lineage: Eukaryota; Metazoa; Chordata; Mammalia; Primates; Hominidae
Exons: 2
Source: RefSeq, a predicted model, not a curated record
AUAUCUCCCCCUAGAAUCUAAGCUCCCCGGGGGCCAACCGUGACCCAUGUCUUCUCCUAGGAACUAGAAAAAGAAGUAUACAUUGACUAGGAGAGUAACAGAUGCAGCCCUGUAUUCUCCACCUGACUAAUGGAAUUCAUAGGCUGGCUGGCAAGCAGUGCUUCUUGUAUCUGAUUGCCCAUAUAAGUUACCAUGAAACUUAAAAAUAAAAGAAAGAGGAAAAAAAGAAAUUCCCUGAACCACUGGCAUUUGAAUAUUUGGAAUGCAACCUGAGAAUCUCUAUCUUUUAAAGGCUUCCGAGGUGAUUUUGAAACCCACCAGCCAAUAAAAAAAUCAAAGACUUACAGAGGUGAAACAACAUAUCCAACACCACCCCGCAAGUGAUGAAGAAUUAAGACCUGAACUCAAGUCUGUCUGCCUCCAAACUCAGCAUUCUUUCUGCUCUGCCACGUUAACCUUGCUGACAAACAAUCCUGGGGUAAGAUCCACGUCAAGUAGAACUCUCAGGUUAAGUCCUUUCUUCCAUAGAUACAAAUGCCCUGUCCAGAUCCUGAGCUAGCUUAGGAUUGGAAGAAAACAUGAAAGGUAGCUGCAAGAUUAAAGGGGCCACCAAGGCAUCCCUAAUUCCAUCGCCACCUGCCAGAGCACAGUGGAUCCCUGCUACCUUGCCCGUCUGCUUGUGAUAACCACCCCCAUUCCUGCCUGUUCCUUUGAGAGAUCCUCCGGUUCUGGUGCAGCUGAUCACAAUAGUGCACCUGGUCACAGUGACUGGCCCAGGGCUCGGUGUCCUACCCAGCAGGCCAGUCAGAGCCUUCACAAGGAUUUUUCUAAGUGGACUUUCCAGGGCAGGCAAUUUUGCUUUCGUCAUGGAAAAUGAUUCUCUAAGAAUGUGAGUCUGGAUCUACUUGUGGCCAUGUUCUCUGGGGUUUGGGUAAAACCCAUCUUUGGGAGGAGCAAAUCAUCGCAACACAGAAGCAGAGACAGGAAGACAUAGAGCCCGACUGUGUUUGAGUCUUUGGUUCCAUUUCCUGCAGGGCUCAUCCUCACUGGUUCUUGAACAGUUCUCUAGUUCAAGGUUUUUGUUUUUGUUUUUGGUUGUGGUGGUAGUGGGUUUUUAUUUAUUGCGAAUUAGUCUGGACAAACUCAGGGACAUAUAAACAGGCCCCUCGUGUGAUGCAAGAAGCCAGUCAAGGAAGUCCCUGAGCCUACUCUGGCUGGGAGGCUGCCUGAUAAUGAUUAAAAAAAAAGAAGAAGAAGAAGAAAAAGAAGCCAGUCAUCAUCUUGAAGCCCAGGGAAUGCUUUUCAUACUGCACAUUUUUCACCUAUCAGCUUUGGGAUCAGGCAUAUCUAGGAAAGACUCCUGGCUCCAUCACUUUUAGGGCUGUGUGACACUGUGUAAGUAACUUCGCCUCUCCAAACUGCAGUUCUCCGUACAAUAAGAAUAAUAAUUGUACAUACCUCACAGGAUUGCUGUGGAAGGUUAAUGAUUAUACACAGUAUUGGGUGAUAAUAAAUACUAAUGUGUUUGUCA